Molecule: small nuclear RNA, 109 nt
Filed under: Canis lupus familiaris (dog)
Lineage: Eukaryota; Metazoa; Chordata; Mammalia; Carnivora; Canidae
Source: RNAcentral
GUGCUCACUUCAUACAGCAUAUAUACUAAAUUUGGAAACAAUACAGAGAAGAUUAGCAGGACCCUUGCACAAGGAUGACAUGCAAAUUCAUCAAAUGUUCCAAUAUAUU